RNAcentral lists this unclassified non-coding RNA (1447 nucleotides) under Amphimedon queenslandica. RNAcentral describes it as "uncharacterized aarF domain-containing protein kinase 5-like, transcript variant X1". The record is from RNAcentral. Lineage: Eukaryota; Metazoa; Porifera; Demospongiae; Haplosclerida; Niphatidae.
AGCCACGCCUAUCUAUUUUAACCCUUUCUGCAUUGUAUUAAACCGGACCAUGGGCAGAUACUCAAGGGUUUUGGGUUUUCUUUUAGGUUCUUCAGCUGUUGGUGGCAGUGCCUAUUACUGGUCACGUGACGAUGGGGAGAAGAGAUGGCUAAAAGUUCAACUCAAAGGAAUAACUCGUUUUGCAAGAUCAGCAGCCAUUGGGAUUACAAUAUCUUGUGACUACUGGUGGACAAUGAGGAAUCUGGAUGAAACUGAUCCGGAUUACUCUCUCUCCAUGAGUGCCUGCCAUCAGAGAGCUGCUGAUCGCAUAGUUAAUGGUGCAAUGGCUAAUGGAGGUCUCUAUAUAAAACUAGGGCAAGGUCUUGGGUCUUUUAAUCAGAUACUACCUAGGGAAUACAUUGAUACACUUAAAAUUCUACUCAACAAGGCUCUUUUUCGUGAUGAUAAAGAGUUGGACCAGCUCUUCAAGGAGGACUUUGGUUUAAAAGUUGAUAACAUUUUUGCACAGUUUGAUCGCCAGCCAGUCGCAGCUGCAAGCCUAGCACAAGUUUACAAAGCGAUGACUAAUGAUGGUCAGUCUGUGGCAGUCAAAGUCCAGUACAUUGACCUCAGGGAUCGCUAUCAUGGUGACAUAUGGACGAUUAGGAUUCUCCUUAAGUUUAUUGCCUGGAUGCACCCUAGCUUUAGUUUCUCGUGGGUUUUGGAUGAACUGAAAGACACUUUAUACGAGGAGUUGGAUUUUGAACACGAGGGACUCAAUCAGGAGAGAUGUGCUAGAGAGCUCAAACAUUUAUCGUACGUUUGUGUCCCAAAGAUACGCUGGGAGCAUACUUCAAAGCGUGUAUUGACAUCACAAUGGAUCGAUGGGUGUCAAGUAACGGAUGUACAAUCACUUAGAGAGAGGGGGUUGUCCUUAGCUGAAGUAGCUCAUAAAGUGACAAGAGCAUUUUCUGAGCAAUUGUUUGUGACUGGGUUUGUACAUGGGGACCCACACCCUGGAAACGUCUUAAUAUGCAAGUCACCAAAGAGCAACUCUGUUCAAGUUUGUCUAUUAGAUCACGGCCUUUAUACACCAAUCACAGAACAUAUAAGACUGAGACUAUGUGGGAUAAUAAAGUCAACUGUUCAGUAUGAUGUGCCUAAUUUAAAGUCUUACUGCCUAGAAUUGGGAAUAGAAGACUAUGAAUUAUUUGCCCUAAUGCUCACUGGGCGUACAUUAAAAUCCCACAGGGAGAUGUUCAACUCUUCACUAUUAACAAGACGCGAUGUUAAAGCAGUCACCGGAAUAUUAAUCUGAUUCGUAGCAUUAACCGGGAACUGGGUAUACCGAUCAACAGGUUUAAAGUAAUGGCUAAAAUAGCAAUUGAAGGCUACCAUUACGAGAAGGAAAAGCAAUCAUUCUCUGUUUUAAAUAGUGUUAGGCGCUGGAUUGAUCAGAGACAGUUUG